This 544-nucleotide long non-coding RNA is filed under the name Solanum lycopersicum (tomato). Its description in RNAcentral is "long non-coding RNA (SLYC_LNC000265)". Lineage: Eukaryota; Viridiplantae; Streptophyta; Magnoliopsida; Solanales; Solanaceae. The record is from RNAcentral.
UUCCCCAAUGAAGCAGGAAUAGAGCCAUUAAGAGCAUUCUCACCCAAAUCUAGGUAAGUAAGAGACCUUAGGUAACCUAUUUCUUCAGGAAUAGAGCCAGAAAGCUUAUUAUUGUAAAGAUCCAACCUAGACAAGUUGUUUAGAUUCCCCAAUGAAGCAGGAAUAGAGCCAUUAAGAGCAUUCUCACCCAAAUCUAGGUAAGUAAGAGACCUUAGGUAACCUAUUUCUUCAGGAAUAGAGCCAGAAAGCUGAUUAUUGUAAAGAUACAAAAAAGACAAGUUGUUCAGAUUCCCCAAUGAAGCAGGAAUGGAACCACUAAGAAAGUUGAUAUCCAAAGAUAGCUUAGUAAGAGACCUUAGGUAACCUAUUUCUUCAGGAAUAAAGCCAGAAAGCUGAUUUUCAUAAAGAAAUAAAAAAGACAAGUUGGUCAUAUUGCCCAAUGAAGCAGGAAUAGAACCACUAAGAAAGUUGAUACCCAAAGAUAGCUUAGUAAGAGACCUUAGGUAACCUAUUUCUUCAGGAAUAAAGCCAUUUAAAUGAUUGU